AGAGUUUGAUCCUGGCUCAGGACGAACGCUGGCGGCGUGCCUAACACAUGCAAGUCGAGCGAGGAACUUCGGUCCCUAGCGGCGGACGGGUGAGUAACACGUGGGUAACCUGCCUUGUAGAGGGGGAUAGCCUUCCGAAAGGAAGAUUAAUACCGCAUAACAUUGCGAUAUCGCAUGAUAUUGUAAUCAAAGGAGCAAUCUGCUACAAGAUGGACCCGCGGCGCAUUAGCUAGUUGGUGAGGUAACGGCUCACCAAGGCGACGAUGCGUAGCCGGCCUGAGAGGGUGAACGGCCACAUUGGAACUGAGACACGGUCCAGACUCCUACGGGAGGCAGCAGUGGGGAAUAUUGCACAAUGGGCGAAAGCCUGAUGCAGCAACGCCGCGUGAGUGAUGAAGGCCUUCGGGUUGUAAAGCUCUGUCUUCUGGGACGAUAAUGACGGUACCAGAGGAGGAAGCCACGGCUAACUACGUGCCAGCAGCCGCGGUAAUACGUAGGUGGCAAGCGUUGUCCGGAUUUACUGGGCGUAAAGGAUGCGUAGGCGGAUAUUUAAGUGAGAUGUGAAAUUCCCGGGCUUAACUUGGGAGCUGCAUUUCAAACUGGGUAUCUAGAGUGCGGGAGAGGAGAGUGGAAUUCCUAGUGUAGCGGUGAAAUGCGUAGAGAUUAGGAAGAACUCCAGUGGCGAAGGCGACUCUCUGGACCGUAACUGACGCUGAGGCAUGAAAGCGUGGGGAGCAAACAGGAUUAGAUACCCUGGUAGUCCACGCUGUAAACGAUGAAUACUAGGUGUGGGAGUUGUCAUGACUUCCGUGCCGCAGUUAACACAAUAAGUAUUCCGCCUGGGGAGUACGGUCGCAAGAUUAAAACUCAAAUGAAUUGACGG
This 883-nucleotide ribosomal RNA is filed under the name uncultured bacterium. RNAcentral's name for it is "bacterial SSU rRNA". It matches the Rfam family "Bacterial small subunit ribosomal RNA", at positions 8 to 916 of the family's 1533-position model. The record is from RNAcentral.